Molecule: transfer RNA, 70 nt
Filed under: Pseudomonas sp. NZIPFR-PS2
Lineage: Bacteria; Pseudomonadati; Pseudomonadota; Gammaproteobacteria; Pseudomonadales; Pseudomonadaceae
Also listed under: 2 other names
Description: tRNA-Met
Rfam family: tRNA
About the family: Transfer RNA (tRNA) molecules are approximately 80 nucleotides in length.
Source: RNAcentral
UGGAGCAGUCUGGUAGCUCGUCGGGCUCAUAACCCGAAGGUCGUCGGUUCAAAUCCGGCUCCCGCAACCA